GGGGGGGGGGGGGGGGGGGGGGGGGGGGGGGGGGGCGAGGGGGGCGGGGUGGGGGUGGGCGGGGGUCGGGGAGGGGCGGGGGGGGGAGGGACACGUGGGCGACCUGCCCGCAAGGCCGGGAUAACUCCGGGAAACCGGAGCUAAUCCCGGCUAACACCGACGCCCGCCUGGUCUUCGGUUGAAAGGCGGCCUUUGGGCUGUCACUUGCGGCUGGGCCCGCGGCGCAUUAGCCAGUUGGUGAGGUAACGGCUCACCAAGGCGACGAUGCGUAGCCGGCCUGAGAGGGUGACCGGCCACACUGGGACUGAGACACGGCCCAGACUCCUACGGGAGGCAGCAGUAGGGAAUCUUCCGCAAUGGGCGAAAGCCUGACGGGGCGACGCCGCGUGGGCGAAGAAGGCCUUCGGGUCGUAAAGCUCUGUUGUGAGGGACGAAGGAGCGUCGUUCGAAGAGGGCGGCGCGGUGACGGUACCUCACGAGAAAGCCCCGGCUAACUACGUG
Molecule: ribosomal RNA, 501 nt
Filed under: uncultured bacterium
Lineage: Bacteria
Description: partial 16S ribosomal RNA
Rfam family: Bacterial small subunit ribosomal RNA
Source: RNAcentral